Molecule: small RNA, 124 nt
Filed under: Marmota monax (woodchuck)
Lineage: Eukaryota; Metazoa; Chordata; Mammalia; Rodentia; Sciuridae
Source: RNAcentral
GCUGGGUAUGGUGGUGCACACCUGUUAUCCCAGUGGCUUGGGAGGCUGAGGCAGGAGGAUCCUGAGUUCAAAGCCAGCCUCAUCAAAAGCGAGGCACUAAACUACUCAGUAGACCCUGUCUCUA